This 11506-nucleotide long non-coding RNA is filed under the name Homo sapiens (human). Its description in RNAcentral is "non-protein coding lnc-RNF39-4:23". The record is from RNAcentral. Lineage: Eukaryota; Metazoa; Chordata; Mammalia; Primates; Hominidae.
AGUUUUCAUCGCUAGACCAAAUGUACAACCGCCUGAUGUCCUGCUCUAGGAUCCCCUCCUCAACCCAACCGAUCUUGAGUUCCCCAAGCUUCCGACCCUGCGCCCUCCGCCAGGACCCCUGCGUACAAGCCUCUCACCCCGAACGUUGAUGUUGAAGCCACAGCGAAUACAGGUGACCGUAUCCUGAGCCCCGGGCAGAGGCAGGACCGAGCCGCAAUCUGAACAGAAAUCCAGGUCCGACUGAAAGCUGGAGCAAGUAUUGGCGAGGUCCAUGACAGACAUGCGGUCGGGUCUGAGGAGGGAGUUGGAAGUUUAUUAACAAAAGAGAGAAGAGUUCCUGUCCCAGAGGUCGUAACUAUUCUGUCCCAGGACCUAGGAGUAUAUAACCCGAACCCUCCUGCCACGCACGCCUCCUGCCUCUGCGACCAAGGAGCCGAAACGCCCGGAAUUCCCAGACAGCGUCGGGUACUAAAGGACUUGGAACCCUUUCCAGGGGCCGGUGAGAGGAGUUAACCAACUCCGUGGGCUAGAGCGCCAGCUCUGCGCCCGCGGCGGGGCAGCGAGAUAGAGCCGGCUAGAGCGUCAGGCUUUCGCGUUGACGAUUGGCUGUGACGUCAUAAUUAAUUGCGAACCGUGUCUCGGGAGCGUUAGAGAUGGAGACUAACGUCUUCCAAGGGAGAUUGCGUCUCCACUUUCACCCUGGUACUGAGAGGUUGAGCACAAAAUUGGUAACCAAUGCUGCGCUUCCAGCAAAUUUUCCCACCAGCACCCAAUCCUGGGAUAUUUAUUCUCUUUGUCUCACAUCCUACAGGAACGCAGUCGCGGGGUAUAUCCCCCUGAAAACCGUACGUUGCCAAAUAAUGAUUUCUUUGGAUUAGAGAACUACAACUCCCCUGGGUCCUGAGCCGGUAUUUCCCUUUUGCGGCUGCACCGUAGUUAAAAACAAAGCUAAGUGUUCUGGGACGUAUAGUUCUAGCGUUCCUUGGGUCCCGCUGGCGAGCGUGGGCUUUCUGCAGCUCGCAACCGGCCUCGUGCUUUGCGGACGGUUCACUGCGCUUGGAAAGGGAUUGGCCUGGGGUACAUCAUCUAAAGAUCCUAGGAUUGCUGCAGGUCAGCAGUCUCCACUGGAAAAAAAGAUCUUGGCUUUGAUUUGUUGGAGAAACUGUUACCAGAAAAACAGGUCCCGAUCCCGACCCCAAAAGAGUAUUCUUGGAUCUUGCACAGGAAGGAAUUAAAGGUGAGUCACAGAGUGCAGUGAGAAGGAGAUAGUUUAUUGAAAGUUACUCAGAUACAGAGUAGGUGUCCUCAGAAAGCAAAAGGAAGAAUGCACCAUCUUUGUUGUAAACUCUUCUAAUGUAGGGGUUUAAUCUACAUAAAAGCUAAGUUAAAUGUCUAUGUGUGGGUGCUCUGACAGCAUGACAAAAUUUAGGACCUAUUGAUUUAAAGAAAGUUAUCCUUGGCAUUUUAGUUAGUAUAUCAAAGCAUGACUAUAAUAAUCUUAAAAGCAUAUAUUAUAAUGUGACGUCAGGACAUGUGGACAUUCUGUUGUCUGUCAUAGGCGUUUGUUCUUGCAGGCAUUAUUAAGUUGUUUAAUCAGCUGUAAACCUCUUAUGACCAUGGGUUGUGACUGGCAAGGAAUAUGCCUUGCUAGUUGAAAGAUGGAGUUGACUUUAAAAUGGUGUCACCCUGGCUCUCCUAUGCUUCUGUUUCCCCAAAAAAGCCAGGUUACUUGUCCUGUAGAAUGAUCCACAUUCUGAGUUUGGCUAAUGACAUUCUCAUGGUAUUAACUUGUUUCUUUAUAUGUUGUUUUUUCUGUUACCCACAAAAUAAUUCUUCUGAUACACAUUUGUAAUCUUACCAUGCCAGCAUCUGCUACUCUUCAUGUUACCAAAUUUCUGUUCAAGGACCACUAAAGCCACAGUCAGUGGACAUUCUGAGACCUCUAGGGGAGGGUGGAGAUGCUGUCCUUUAAUAUAGUCUGACCCAAGCAACCUCCCCACUUGGCAUGGUGAAUCUAGACAAGCUAAAGAAUUUACUACGCCCCAGGCCUGCACCAGCCCUCUCCUAAGACCUUGGGCACUCUCAUUUCCCUUUUUUUUUUUUCUAAAGGAAGUCAUAGUUUCUCAUAACCUUUGCUAGUGAUCCUGGACCUUGGUUGUUCCCUGAGGCUGUGUUCUCCACACUGCUGCCAUCACUGCUACAGCAGAGGUGCAGAAAGCUCAGGAGAGAGAAGGGAGGAAAAGCUGAAGAUUUUGUGUUAUUCAUGCUUUCCUGACUCCGGCGAAAGUGCUUCCUCCACCUGCAACCAUUUCUGUUUCUAUACUGCUGAGUCUUGUGUUCCCAAGACCAAGGGAAGCCCAUUUUCUUUAAAGCCAGUCACAGUUUCUGUUGGCUGAUGGAAUAUCUGUUGUCCAGCAGUUGUAUUCCUGCUCACAAAUGCAAAACAGUUUGAUGCCACGCACAUUCCAGGGCUUAGACUGGAAAUGCUGUCCCUUGCCCCUUUGUUACCUUCUGACAGGGAUCAGUCCAUAGUGUAGUUGGUGUCACAACAGUCCCGAAGAAGCCUUCCAAUAGAUACCCAAAUGUGAUUCAAAGUGGCACAGGCACACACCACGGUGCCACAUGGUGCCUAUGUAAAGCAGGUAUAUCAGGAAUGCUAAGCAGAGAAGUAGCAGAACACACUGAUCCCCAUGUUCUCAUUGUACAGUUGGGUGCAAUUAAGCUGGCACAAUGGACUCUUCUCAUGGCUACUGUUCCAGUAGUGUGGAUGCCCCCAAAUGCUGCAUAUUUACUAGGACAGCCAGGCAGAGACAGCUGUGUACUAUGAUACAACAGUAGUCCCUCUUAGAGGAAGUGACCUUGUUAGAAGUGGGAGUUUCUGAAGCUCUUCAGCUGUUACUGGCCUGCUCUUCCAUAGCGUUACUUCAGACCUGCUGGCCCAGCUAUCCACUCCGCUAACAGGUCUGUCUCUGCUAACAGGUCUAGCUCUGUCUCCUCAGCACAUGUUCUAGGCUCUGACUGCAAGUGCUGACUUGGGCUCCCAGCCCCACACAGACCCUCUGUUCCAUGAAAGGGCCAUCUAUGCAAAGUGCCCCCCAAAUGCCAAAGGAGCCAAUAAACCAAGGAACAAGACAGACAAAUCUAGUUGUCAGUAAAGAGUGUUUUAUUGGGGAACUUACAGACAGAAGCGUGGUCUUGGAUGGCAGGAAGACAGGUAGGUUUCUGCACUUAUUACCCCCACACCCAGGGCUUAUAUACCACAGGGGAAGAGUAUACAUGCUCUGUGCAAGACAAAGGCUACUACUGUCCAGAACAGGUAAGAAUGCUAAUGUGUCAUAGCCUAGAAUUUGUAUAACAUCAAGGUUGACAUGUUCUUACAAUAGGGAUGGUAAAUAAAGUGGGAAUCAGGAGUCAGUCCUGGGACUGGGGCUAAUCAGAAGUCAGCAUAGAGAAUUAGCAUCCAAGAGGGAGUCACUUUUCUCUCCACAUCCCAGCCCUCUAAUCCAGCUCUUACAAUCUCAUGGACUCACAUUUCCCCCAUAGUCCCUGAGCCUUCAGAGAGGGCUGUGGGUGACAUUUUGAUGGUGUGAGUGACACAUUUUAUCAAUUUGUUUUCUACUUGUUAAGCAGGGGCCACAGCAACAACACAAACAACAGGCGAUGAUAUGUAUGCCAGGUGUAAGACACAGAAUUAAAAAUGCCCUUUACCAUGUUUAUUCAGGAACCAAACCAAGAGGUAUAGAGCAGAACAACAAUAGGAACAGAAGACUAUGGGUGGAAUUAAAAAUGUUUAGUAGGUAUUUGGUGGGGCAGUUCUUCCCCAUUAAACAGAAUUACUGGUAGCUCCAUCUCUGUUGAUUAGGAACAUAGGAUUGUGGGCUGGGAGUACACACCAAACAUGUUGCCUGAGGGGCAAAGGCGCUGGUAUUAUGUGUAAGGUUACAGGGGCAGCAAAGGACCAUGUCAAAUGGCCAGCCAGGGUGCUUCUUAAAAGGGACUGUGUUCCAGUUUAUUGGUAUGUGGAGUGUUUUGGCCCAGACUUCAGCAGGAUCAAUGGAGACCACUUUAGUUGGUAGGGAAUUCCUUGCUGUCUGGAAAGAAAUGCUCUAUCCAACAUAGGGGAAGUUGCUAGUCCAACCCCCAUUCAAGUGUCUCCUCCCUGGCUCAAGAUCUUGAGGAGUUCUAAAUAACCUUUGCCAUUGGCCUUUUAUCUGCUCAGGUCAGAGAUGCAUCUGGUUGGACUUUCUUUACUAUUAUGGUUAAUGGAUCCAUCUCUGUGGUGGUCCUGAGUCAUUGGUGUGGUGCCAGCACCAUAUUUGUCUCAACUAAAUUAAGGUUUCUAAUGGCUUGAGGCAAAAUCUUUGUCUAACUAUGAAAGAUAUUGGAUUUUGAGAGUGCUCAAAACUGUGCCUUCAAAAUACCAUUUUUCCUUUCAAUCAACCCUGUUGCUUGGGGGAGUAUACAGUAAGUGAAAUACCCAGUCUAUGUCCCUUUCAUGCAUCCAGUCUUGGACACCGUGUCUGGUGAAAUGCAUGCCUCGAUUGCUAUCAAUAUGUGGAGGGUAUCCUUACAUGACACUGAGUUGCUCCAAGCCCCUGAUGGUGGCUGUUUGGUUUGCUCUUACAAGGGAAAGCUUGCAACAAUCCCAUGGCAGUGUAUACACAUGUUAGUGCAUACUUUCGUCUCAAGAUUACUGGCAAGGGUCUGAUGUAGUCUAUCUACCAGUCUGUCACAGGGGUGGCUGUCUUAUGUAUAUGUCCAGGUGUAUGUGGGAUGUGGCAGAGGUACAGACGGGAACAAAUUAAGCAGUUUGCUACCGCCACCACUAAAUCUGCAUAGCAGAGAGCCAAUCCUGCUCCCUUUGCUAUUUGGCAGCCCAUUCAUGCACUGAAAUCCCCACUGUGAUAUGUACCUAAUCAACUAGCUCAGUAUUCUAAUUUUUGCUAGGAUGUCUGCCUCCAUGUUUCUGGGAGGUGAAUCUGACCAGUGUGCUGAAGCAAUUAGGUCCACAGUGGGUUCCUGUAGACUUUUCCAAAUGUCUUUCCACAUAUCAGCUCCCCAUAAGGAUUUUUAAAUUAUAUACCAAUCAUCUCAGGCCCUUUGGGCAAGCCAAAUUGUAAGACCCUUAAGUACUGCCAGACUGUCUGUACAGAGAACUAUAGGUGGUGGCUCACGGGUACAAACCAACCAUGUAGCUUGGAGUUCUGCCCAUUGACUGCUCUGUUGCAUUCCCAUCUCAAACCAGAUACUGUCUGUGGUUGUGCAGCUACUACUGUCCAUACACAGGGUUACCUUGGCUCAAUGCAUCUAAGUACCAAGCAUUAUCAGGAAUGAGGGCCAUGCCUUCAUGUACCAUUGGAGACAUCUCCUGUGAGGGCUCCACAAUAGGGGCAGCACUGGACUCAUAAUGUACUGGCCCUAAGAUAGCAUGCAGUUCAUCUCUUAAGGGAUGCAUGGAGAAGGCACUAUGUUGUUGCAUGUAUGCAUGGCACUUUUGUAAAGUGGAAACUUGGGCAAUAGCUGAUACAGGCCUGGCAAACACUCCUACCCAGUCCUUGAUAGGAAACCUGUUCUCCCUGGUACCAGGAAAGCAGCAGUUAUGGAUUCAACUUGUGGCAAGACCUUCUAUAUCCCCAGGACCUGUUAUUCAACUGGGAAAUAGCAGGUUUCAGUACCCUUCCAUUAAUUGUGACUAAAAUUCUAAAGGAACUGCUUCCCUAUGCUGGACUUUAUAUUUUCAUCAUCCAAAAUUAUAGUUUAGUUUUACCUUUAAAAAUAUGUUUUUUGUUCUCAUUUGUUCCAUAGGUUUCUCCUUGAAAUUUAUAUUGUAUGGUAAGGUUUCCUAUUGUUUGCAUUUUGUGGAUUGCACGCCAAGGUGUGGUUUAAUGUAUUUCUAUUACCUGUAUUUUCUGUAAAUUGGUAGUUUGGUAUAGAGGUUUGUGUACAUUCAGGGUUUUUUUUUUUCUGUAAGUAUUGAUGGUUCUGUAAAAGGAAAAUAAAAUCUUGGGGCCCCAAAAUUACUAAGCUAAAGGGAAAAGUCAAGCUGGGAACUGCUUAGGGUAAACCUGCCUCCCAUCUGUUCAGAGUCGCCCCUCUGCUCACUGAGAUAAACACAUGUCUGAUUCCCUCAUUUGGAAAGGCUAAUCGGAAACUCAAAAGAAUGCAACCAUUUGUCUCUCAUCUAUCUGUGACCUGGAAGCCCCCUCCUUGCUUCGAGUUGUCCCGCCUUUCCAGACGGAAUCAAUCUUUAGCUUACAUAUGUUGAUCACUGUCUCAUGUCCCCUUAAAAUGUAUAAAACCAAGUUGUGCUCUGACCACCAAAGUUGUGCUGAGAAGUGACACCAAAGAACAUGGUGGCAUAAGAACUCCAAGGACCCCUCCCCUCCACAGCGGCAAUGUGCUUGUUGAAACACCAGUAUAAAAAAACUCGAUGAGAGCUGUGAUUGGAUUUAGUGUUGAUAUAUUUUUUGUAAAUUGUGGUAAAACAUGCAUACUAUAUAAUUUACCUUCUAACCAUUUUUUCAGUGUACAAUUUGGUGGCAGUAAGCACAUUUACAAUGUUGUGUAACCACCGCCAAUAUCCAUUUCCAGAACAUUUUCAUCAUCCCAAACAGAAACUGUACCCAUUAAACCAUAACUGCCCAUUCUCCCUACCCCCAGCCCCUGGUAAUCUCUAUUCUAUUUUCUGUUUCUAUGAAUUUGCUUAUUCUAGCUACUUUAUAUAAGUAAAAUAUCAUAUUUGUUUUUAUUUCUGGCUUAUUUCACUUAUAGUGUUUUCAAGGCUCAUCCAAUUAGAAUUUCAUUCACUUUUAAGGCUGAAUAAUAUUCCAUGCUUAUGUGCACCGUGGGUUGUUUAUCCAGUCAUCCUCUGAUGGACACUCGGUUGCUUCCACCUUUUGGAUAUUGGGUAUAGUGCUGCUAUGGGCCUGAGUGUACACAUAUCUGGGUGAGUUCCUGCUUUCAGUGCUUUUGGGUAUGCCCAAAAGUGGAAUUGUUGGCUCAUAUAGUAAUUCUAUUUUUACUUUCUUGAGGAAUCACUAUUCUGUUUUCCAUGGUGGCUGCACCACUGUAUACUCUCACCAGCAGUGUACAAGUGUUCCAGUUUCUCCAUAUCUUCACCAACACUUGGCCUAGUGAAGUUUACCAUAUUUUUAUGUCCUUAUUGGCAUUCCUUUUUUUUUUUUUUUUGUGAAACAGAGUCUUGCUCUGUUGCCAGGCUGGAGUGCAGUGGCACAAUCUCGGCUCGCUGUAACCUCCACUUCCCAGGUUCAAGUGAUUCUCCUACCUCAGCCUCCUGAGUAGCUGGGACUACAGGUACCUGCCACCAUGCCCAACUAAUAUUUGUAUUUUUUUGGUACAGACGGGGUUUCACCAUGUUGGCCGGGAUGGUCUUGAUCUCUUGACCUCGUGAUCCGCCCACCUCGGCCUCCCAAAGUACUGGGAUUACAGGCAUGAGCCACCAUGCCUGACCAGCAUUCCUUAUUUUUAUGUCCUUAUUGUAUAUCUUCUUUGGAGAAUUGUCUAUUCAUGUCUUUUACUUAUUUUUGAAUGAGAUUGUUUUGCUAUUGUUGAAUUGUAGUUCUUUACAUAUUCUGGAUAUUAAUUCUUUAUCAGAUAUGUGAUUGGCAAAUAUUUCCUCCUGGUCUGUGCAUUUUCUUUUGAUUCUCUUAAUAGUGUCCUUUGAUGCAAAAAAGUUUUUAAAUUUUGAUGCAUUCUAAUUUGUCAUUUUUCUUAUAUUACUUGUACUAUUGGUCACCAGCCAAGAAACCACUACCAAUUCUAAUGUCCAUAAGAUUUUCCUCAGUAUUUUCUUGAGGGUUUUACAGGUUCAAUUCUUAAGAUUAGUUCUUUGAGUCAUUCUGACUUAAUUUUUGAAAAGGGUGUAAUGGAAGGACAUGAAUUUUUUCCAGCAUCAUUCUUUUGCAUGUUGAUAUCCAGGUUUCCAGCACCAUUUGUUGAUGCACCAUCUGUUGCAGUGGGGCUGACACAUUUGUAAGAUGCAGUGAGCAUUAAUACAUGGGAGCACCAUGCAUUUAUUUACCUGUCUUUACUUCACAGUUGUUUUGAGAAGGCUUUCACUGACAGACUCAACAGAAAUGAAUAUAUAUGACUUCUUAUAAAAUCAUAUUCAAGUAAAAUUAUAAAUUUUAAAAUGUUAAGACUGGAGCAAGACUGGAACAUCACUAGACAAGCUGAAACAUAGGCUGAAAUGAAGGGUUAUGUUUACCUUGCUACAAAUUCUGUUGGCCCACAAUCUCUUAUGCUUAUUGCUUAAGAGAGCCACAGAGUGGGGUGAUAGCUCACAUAACCAGUCCCUGGUUUUCUGCUUCAGAAAGAAGUUUAAAUAUUCUGCUUAGACAGAGUAAGGAAAUUAACUGAAAGAUGUCUAAUGUGAAGUUGGCAUCUACAAAGUGAAGGAGUGAGUAGUAAGUGUAAACAUCAGGAAUCCCAGGAGAUUCUAUCUUUUUGCACGGAAAUGGCCUCACUAUGCACUGCUGAAGGGAGAAGGUCCCUUCAGGGGACCUUCAUGAUGAAGAAGAACACAAUAUGAUAUAGGAAUUUUCUGCUGCAGCCCUAAACUGAAUUGUCCUUCUCUCUAACUACAGGUCUCACAAAGUUUUAUAGCUUCAAUGAUUUCACCUGGGCCAAGAUUUUGGUUUUUUUUGAUGUUAUUUGUUUGAACUGCUGCCUGGGGCUUAGAAAAGUGACUUGGAUAUUUUGUCAAAAUGGAUUUUCUUUGAUGGAAUGUGAAAUCCGUAAACACUCUGCUUUCCUGCUGUAUCCCCAGAGCAGGUUGAGUACCUUGCACUUCUUCUCAGCACUUCGCUAGAAGUGGUAGAAGAUUUGGAGUUAGGGCCUCCCUCAAUCCCUACCCUUUCUUUAAUUCAGAGGAUCACAAACUGUUGGGAGAAGAGUGGUAUCUUGGGCCUCUAGCUGAUCUGAUGAAUAUUAAUAUCCAAUGUCCUGUAGUGAAGUCAUGUGUGCGUGUAACAUCACUUCUUCACGCAGUGUCAUAGGAAAGUGGGUUCCUGGACCCCAGGUUAAGAGCCUAAGCACUAAAGGCACAGAGCUAGAGCUCUAGGAGGGGAGGGAUGGCUGGGGUGGAACCUCGUCUUGUCAUUUAGUCCUGGGGCCUUUUCACUCCUUACAUGGUGGGUGGUGGGCGUCUGGCAGGUGCCGAUGUUGAUGGAGUCAAGGGAGGGAACUAGCCGGGACAGGGAAAAACAGGGUUGGAGAGAUAAUUAAGGUGGACGUUAUUUUUUCUGAGCGUAAGUCGUGGCUGGAAAUCUGGAGAGCCUGAAAGAGUAUCCCCCUACCCAAACCUGUUUUUUCCUUUUCCCUCAAGCCUCAUUUGGCCACAGGCCCAGUGUCAACACCAGGGGGCGCCACAGACCAUGAAGGCACCGUGCAGCUGGGAUUGUUUGUGGUCGGCUACUGGGUCCCUGACUUAACCAGGGGAGCCAAGACCCUGUAGCCAAGUGGCCUGGAUUCAACCUGCAGCUCAGGUCUUACUGACACUUCUCCCCCUGGUGCCUCAGUUUCUUAAUCUGUGAAAUGGUGAGGACAUUACAGCAUUUACCUCUGGGGCGGGUUUCUCAACAGCAGCACUAUUAACAAUUUGGGACAGAGAAUCUUGUGGAGUGGUCUGUCCUGUGCAUUGUGGGAGGUUUGCCAGCAACACCCCACUCACCCCCUCCCACCAAUCCCCAUGUGACAACCGAAAAUGUCCCAGGAUUUUUAGGUCUCCCUUGGGUCUAGAAGCUGCACUUAGGCAUUUUCCCACCUGACACUUGAGUUCAUCUCUGCUUUGGUCCACAUAAGGCCACUUUAAAAAAAUGUUGUUUCUUUAAAGAUUCUAACCAUCUUUUAAACAAAUCCAUUUUCUUCCUCUAUUUCUGCAUUCAGUUAAUCCUUCCAAACCCUUUGUUUAGUAUAUCUUGAAAUGUAUCAAUUCCUGUUCUAGUAAUUAACAUAUGUGACUUGCAUGAUAUCUGCUAUGACCCUUAGUAGAGCUCUGAUUCCUUUAGCACAGGGAAUGUGUUCUCGAUUCUGCUCUGGAUGAUGUAAAUCAAUUUAUUUUACUUUACUUGUCUGGGAUGUUGCUCCUCAUCUGUAAGAUGUAAAUGUGGAUAUGGCUUGGAUUACUAAGUGGUUUUAUUUCUUAAUUCACCUGACAUUUGUUGUGUGCCUGCUGCAAGUCAAAUACAUGGCAUGGUAUUGUUUCCUUGUUCACACCACAGCAAAUGAGAAAAUGAGACAUUAUAGCCAGGUGUGGCGGCACAGGCUUGUGGUCCUAGCUACUCGGAAGGCUGAGGCAGGAGAAUUGCUCCAGCCCAGGAGUUUGAGGUUACAGUAAGGUAUGAUAUCACCAUUGCAUUUCAACCUGGGCAACAGACCCUGUCUCUGAAAAAAGGGAAAAAGACCUUGUGAGCUGUCUACGUGUACUCUAUGUCUCAGGAGACUCAUAUCCUGUAAUUUUUCUAAAUGGCGUCUCCAUGUGGUCUUUCAUGAAUGUUUGUCUGGUAUUCUCUAUCCUUUUACUUUCAACUUUUCUUUACCUUCUACUGAAAUUAUGUCUUUUGUAAACAGCCCAUGAUUAUUUAUUUAGUUAUUUAUUUUUACCCCCCUGCACUAUUUGUCUUGUAAUUGGAGUGUCUGAGUCCAUUAUGUUUAAUGUAAUUAUUGACCUCAUUGGGUUUAAGUCUGUCCAUUGUCAUUUGCUGCCUUCUAAUAUUAUCUCUUUCUUGCUCAACUAUUUUUCUUAUGUUACCUUCUUUAGAUGAAUAAAAACCUUUGCAUUAUUGUAGUCUUCUAAGUGUCCUAAUUACACAUUCUCUUAUUAUUUCUUUAAUUAUCUGAGAAAGCAUAAUGAUCUGUGACUUAUUAUAACCAAUAGCAGACCACAACUUCCCUGACUUUCACCUACCUGUGCCCACAGCCCAGGGGAGAAUCAGUGCUCUGGCUCUGAGACACAGGGGUGGUGGGAGUAGGAGAGUGAUUGGAUGAUGAAUCUGUAGCUGCAGAGGCAUCUGGGCCCCUCACCUGCAUUCCUCAUAGAUGUCUCCUCCAUUGAAUGCCUGCGAUGCCCUCUCCUCUGUGUACUCCUGCCAGAGUCUCCCUAUCUCCACUGACAGCAGCUCCACCCUUCUGCUCACUCAGUCCAAUACUGUGGGUGUCCUUGAUUCUUCUUCUCACAUCCAUUAGCAAGUGCUGUGAGUCCAUCUUCAAAUUCAUCCAGAAUCCCUUCACUUCUCACUAUUUCCCCUGCUCACACCCUAGUCAAGGUAAGCAACGUGUCCAUCCUAGAAUACUGUACUCCUUUCCCACCAUUUUCCCCACUGCAUCACUGGUUCCCCACCUCUCAAUUCUGUUCUCAGCACAGCAGCCAGAAAGAAGCUUUCAAAGGAUGAGCCCUACCAUGUCCCACUUUUCAAAACUGUCCUCCCCAUGUCAUUCAGAGCAAAGGUCAACACCCUUCCCACACCCUUCAGGGCUACCUGCUCUA